Molecule: ribosomal RNA, 405 nt
Filed under: Shigella dysenteriae
Lineage: Bacteria; Pseudomonadati; Pseudomonadota; Gammaproteobacteria; Enterobacterales; Enterobacteriaceae
Description: bacterial SSU rRNA
Rfam family: Bacterial small subunit ribosomal RNA
Source: RNAcentral
CUGAGAGGAUGACCAGCCACACUGGAACUGAGACACGGUCCAGACUCCUACGGGAGGCAGCAGUGGGGAAUAUUGCACAAUGGGCGCAAGCCUGAUGCAGCCAUGCCGCGUGUAUGAAGAAGGCCUUCGGGUUGUAAAGUACUUUCAGCGGGGAGGAAGGGAGUAAAGUUAAUACCUUUGCUCAUUGACGUUAUCCGCAGAAGAAGCACCGGCUAACUCCGUGCCAGCAGCCGCGGUAAUACGGAGGGUGCAAGCGUUAAUCGGAAUUACUGGGCGUAAAGCGCACGCAGGCGGUUUGUUAAGUCAGAUGUGAAAUCCCCGGGCUCAACCUGGGAACUGCAUCUGAUACUGGCAAGCUUGAGUCUCGUAGAGGGGGGUAGAAUUCCAGGUGUAGCGGUGAAAUGC